GCUGGGCAUGGUGGCGGGCGCCUGUAAUCCCAGCUACUCGGGAGGUUGAGGCAGGAGAAUUGCUUGAACCCGGGAGGUGGAGGUUGCAGUGAGCCAAGAUUGAGCCACUGCACUCCAUCCUGGGUGACAGAGCGAGACUCUGUCUCAA
This 148-nucleotide non-coding RNA is filed under the name Nomascus leucogenys (northern white-cheeked gibbon). Lineage: Eukaryota; Metazoa; Chordata; Mammalia; Primates; Hylobatidae. The record is from Rfam by way of RNAcentral.